GAAAUAUGAUAUUCAAGAGCGAGCUUCUAACUCGAUUCUCAAGCGAUGAAAUUUCGUUUAUAUUUCU
Molecule: transfer RNA, 67 nt
Filed under: Anomophysis sp. ASCT00116655
Lineage: Eukaryota; Metazoa; Arthropoda; Insecta; Coleoptera; Cerambycidae
Description: tRNA-Ser
Source: RNAcentral